Corynebacterium appendicis CIP 107643 is the source of this 123-nucleotide regulatory RNA element. It matches the Rfam family "atpB RNA". NCBI's taxonomy places the organism in Bacteria, Bacillati, Actinomycetota, Actinomycetes, Mycobacteriales, Corynebacteriaceae. The record is from Rfam.
CCUGCACCGCGGUAGCUGAUGUGCGACGGAGUCCGCCGCGGAAGGCAGAAAUGAAGACGUCCAUCGCACCGCACUUCCAAAAAGUGCGGCCCGAGAACGGGAGAGAACGCUGAGCGUUACAAC